Molecule: ribosomal RNA, 500 nt
Filed under: uncultured Glomeromycotina
Lineage: Eukaryota; Fungi; Glomeromycota
Description: partial small subunit ribosomal RNA
Rfam family: Eukaryotic small subunit ribosomal RNA
Source: RNAcentral
CCAAUAGCGUAUAUUAAAGUUGUUGCAGUUAAAAAGCUCGUAGUUGAAUUUCGGGAUCAGUACGUCGGUCGUGCCUCCGGUAUGUACUGGCGUUACUGAUUUCUCCCUUCUGAUGAACCAUGAUGUCAUUAAUUUGGUGUUGUGAGGAGUCAGGACUGUUACUUUGAAAAAAUUAGAGUGUUUAAAGCAGGCAAACGCUUGAAUACAUUAGCAUGGAAUAAUGAAAUAGGACGUUCGAACCUAUUUUGUUGGUUUCUAGGAUCAACGUAAUGAUUAAUAGGGAUAGUUGGGGGCAUUAGUAUUCAAUUGUCAGAGGUGAAAUUCUUGGAUUUAUUGAAGACUAACUACUGCGAAAGCAUUUGCCAAGGAUGUUUUCAUUAAUCAAGAACGAAAGUUAGGGGAUCGAAGACGAUCAGAUACCGUCGUAGUCUUAACCAUAAACUAUGCCGACUAGGGAUCGGAUGAAGUUAAUUUUUUAAUGACUCAUUCGGCGCCUUACG